UACGAAGGGUGCAAGCGUUAAUCGGAAUUACUGGGCGUAAAGCGUGCGUAGGCGGUUUCUUAAGUCCGUUGUGAAAGUCAAAGGCUCAACCUUUGAAUGCCGAUGGAUACUGCGAAGCUAGAGUACGGAAGAGGCGAGUGGAAUUCCUGGUGUAGCGGUGGAAUGCGCAGAUAUCAGGAGGAACACCAAUAGCGAAGGCAGCUCGCUGGGACGUUACUGACACUAAGGCGCGAAAGCGUGGGGAGCGAACAGG
RNAcentral lists this ribosomal RNA (253 nucleotides) under uncultured bacterium. RNAcentral's name for it is "partial 16S ribosomal RNA". It matches the Rfam family "Bacterial small subunit ribosomal RNA", at positions 524 to 776 of the family's 1533-position model. The record is from RNAcentral.